CCGCCAUCUCGUCUGAACCGGCAAGACGCCAAACCCAGCGCCCCCUCCCGUCCUCGGCCAUCCAGCCCCCAACCCCACCCCACCCCACCCACUUGUCCCCUCCCUCCCAAACCCCAGAAUCCCCUGCCCGCGCCGACCCAACCAAUCCCGCACCCACGCGCCCGCACAUGCGCAGCAGUAGGGCGUCGACGACGACGACGCGGCGCAACGGAGGGGUGCAGGUCAGCGAAGGGCACAGGCCACUGCUCACGCCGCUGCUGCGCUCGGUGCUCAACAGGAGUAGCUCGUGCUACGUCCGCACCGCCGGAGAGGACGCCAAGAUGAGCAUGGAGGUGCAUGGGUUGCGCAUUCGGAUGAAGACUCAGUAGGUGGAGCAGCAAGAGGUGCCCCUCCGUAGGGCAGAUUUGUGGCCACACAUCUAUCACCAGCUGGUCCAUAUAGAGGAGGAGAUAAGGUACAUAUCAAGACACCUUUCU
Long non-coding RNA from Triticum dicoccoides, 476 nucleotides. RefSeq lists it as uncharacterized. NCBI's taxonomy places the organism in Eukaryota, Viridiplantae, Streptophyta, Magnoliopsida, Poales, Poaceae. The record is from RefSeq and is a predicted model, not a curated record. The transcript has 3 exons.